Molecule: ribosomal RNA, 245 nt
Filed under: uncultured Chloroflexota bacterium
Lineage: Bacteria; Bacillati; Chloroflexota
Description: uncultured Chloroflexi bacterium partial 16S ribosomal RNA
Rfam family: Bacterial small subunit ribosomal RNA
Source: RNAcentral
UACGUGGGGGCCGAGCGUUGUCCGGAGUUACUGGGCGUAAAGGGCGCGCAGGCGGCGGCGUGGGUCCGGCGUGAAAGCCCCCGGCUCAACCGGGGAAGGUCGUCGGGGACCGCGCCGCUUGAGGGCGGCAGGGGCCGGUGGAAUGCCUGGUGUAGUGGUGAAAUGCGUAGAGAUCAGGCGGAACACCCGUGGCGAAGGCGGCCGGCUGGGCCGACCCUGACGCUGAGGCGCGAAGGCGUGGGGAG